GCCGCGCUCAAUCGCCGCCAAGGACGGAGUCUCAAGGAUGUCGCCGCUCCGCCCCGGCUCUGCAGUGGCGCAGGGCCCGUUACCGGCGCUGUGUCCGCGCGGGGCGCGCCGCCCGGAGCGGUUGCGCUGCCGGGGCCGGGGGUGGCCGGGCGACACUGGACACUGGUCACUGGUCACUGGUGGCUUCGGCAGCAUCACCACCGCUCACUUCCACAGGAGACAGCGGGGCUCUUGGUGCCUAAGCGCCACAGAGCCACAGGCUCGGCCAGAAUCGCAACCCACGGAACACACAGACUGAAAAUCUGGGUGUACAAGCGGCCACUGCUGCUGAGCACAGAAGGAAGUGAUUUCUUGGAAUUCCUCCAGGACCAAGGCAAGCAAAAUACGGAAUAAUAGCAAACAGUGUUUUCAUCUAGUGCUGGAACAUUACAUCUUUCUAGCUGUAAAGGAAGAAAGUAGAAGCAAAACACUGAAUGGUAUGCAAUUAGUUCCACUGGGGGGAAAAUCCAGAAAGCUUUAGGUUCCUCAUCACACAUGAUUAAGUCUCUCUCACAAGAGGGAAAACAGAAUAGUGGGUUCCAGAGUCCUCCCAAGUAAGUCACUGGGUUAAAUGUGACUAGGCAGAGAGCCUAGCUCUGCUUGCCUAUGACUACCUUUUUUUUUUUUUUUUUCUUUUUUUAAUUCUGUUGUUGUGGCUAGUUUAAAGUUUUAUUGAUUUUUUUUCUUUUUGCCAGGUAUUUUGCCAGGUAUUUUGCCUGGUUUAGUAACAACUGGAUUCAUUCCCUGUGGCUCACCAAGUAGCCAAACAAAGGAUGGUGUGAGCAUGAGAGAGGUGGUGAGCAAAGGAUGCAACCUGCUUUUCUGGGCAGCAGAUCGGUACCAGACCCAUGCUGGCUUUAAAUCACUGUCUAACUGCAGCCUACUUCGCUUCUUUACAUUGUUUGAUGUUGCAAAGAGUCCCCUGGAGGGAAAGAAAUUAGUUAAGCCAUCCACAUGACACUUGAGGUAGCAGCUUGCUGUAAGAAAAUCAAUUCAAGACUUUGAAAUUACAGUUGCAAUGGGAGCUGGAGGUAAAUAAUUAUACAAUGAAAUGUAAGGGUAAGAAAAUCUAUAGUCACAACGGGAACAUGCACAGCUGAAAUUUAAGGAAAUAGGGAGGAAGGGAGAUGAAAAGGUUCUGGAGAGAUUAGGGAAGGACCAGAGCAAGGUUUUUUAAUUCCUGGACCAUAACCAAAGGUCCUUGUCCUGCCAGUGCCUGUUGUGAGGAACGUUCACCACUGCAUUGUGUCUUCUUUGGACAGGAUCCUUCUCUCUUCUUAUGAGCUUUUAUCACAGUAGCAUUUGGAAUUAGAGACGGAAAUGCCACGUUCAUAUUUGCAAGGUAAUAAAGCUUUAAAAGGCAGGCUGGACUAUUUACCACAGUUUACAACAGCUCUUCUGGGCCCUCAUUUAGAUCAGGCUUCAUUUUGCAUGCAGUGCUAAAAGAACAGGGUAUUUAGUCCCCUCCCUGAAGUCCUUUCAAUCUAAAUAGACAAGGCAGGAGCAAGAGGUGGGUGGAAGAAAGAAGCUUAUUCCCUCUUCCUGCUCUUAAUUAUUUACAUGCUUGUUCCAGACGAUGGAGGAUUGAGGCACAGAGAGGUGAAAAGAUCUCCCCAAGGUCACACGGGAAGUCUCCUGGUGACAGAUCACAAUUUCAAAGUUCAGCUCCAGUUUGGCAACUCUGGCAUUUUUGAUGCAGUGUGGUUUUCCAGAAAAACAAACCCUAAUAUUAAACAGUGUAAAUAAAUUUGCCUGCUAACCUUUAUACAA
Molecule: long non-coding RNA, 1809 nt
Organism: Corvus hawaiiensis (hawaiian crow)
Lineage: Eukaryota; Metazoa; Chordata; Aves; Passeriformes; Corvidae
Exons: 2
Source: RefSeq, a predicted model, not a curated record